CAAUAGCGUAUAUUUAAGUUGUUGCAGUUAAAAGCUCGUAGUUGGAUUUCGGUUGAGAACGGCCGGUCCGCCGUUUGGUGUGCACUGGCUGGUCUCAACUUCCUGUAGAGGACGCGCUCUGGGUUAACGCUCGGACGCGGAGUCUACGUGGUUACUUUGAAAAAUUAGAGUGUUCAAAGCGGGCUUACGCUUGAAUAUUUCAGCAUGGAAUAACACUAUAGGACUCCUGUCCUAUUUUGUUGGUUUCUAGGACAUACGCAAUGAUUAAUAGGGACAAUUGGGGGCAUUCGUAUUAACGCGUCAGAGGUGGAAUUCUUAGAUUGCGUUACGACGAACUACUGCGAAAGCAUUUGCCAAGGAUGUUUUCAUUGAUCAAGAACGAAAGUAUGGGGAUCGAAGACGAUCAGAUACCAU
This 414-nucleotide ribosomal RNA is filed under the name uncultured eukaryote. RNAcentral describes it as "bacterial SSU rRNA". It matches the Rfam family "Eukaryotic small subunit ribosomal RNA", at positions 592 to 1018 of the family's 1831-position model. The record is from RNAcentral.